Molecule: ribosomal RNA, 1372 nt
Filed under: uncultured bacterium
Lineage: Bacteria
Description: bacterial SSU rRNA
Rfam family: Bacterial small subunit ribosomal RNA
Source: RNAcentral
GAUGAACGCUGGCGGCGUGCCUAAUACAUGCAAGUCGAGCGAACGGACGAGAAGCUUGCUUCUCUGAUGUUAGCGGCGGACGGGUGAGUAACACGUGGAUAACCUACCUAUAAGACUGGGAUAACUUCGGGAAACCGGAGCUAAUACCGGAUAAUAUUUUGAACCGCAUGGUUCAAAAGUGAAAGACGGUCUUGCUGUCACUUAUAGAUGGAUCCGCGCUGCAUUAGCUAGUUGGUAAGGUAACGGCUUACCAAGGCAACGAUGCAUAGCCGACCUGAGAGGGUGAUCGGCCACACUGGAACUGAGACACGGUCCAGACUCCUACGGGAGGCAGCAGUAGGGAAUCUUCCGCAAUGGGCGAAAGCCUGACGGAGCAACGCCGCGUGAGUGAUGAAGGUCUUCGGAUCGUAAAACUCUGUUAUUAGGGAAGAACAUAUGUGUAAGUAACUGUGCACAUCUUGACGGUACCUAAUCAGAAAGCCACGGCUAACUACGUGCCAGCAGCCGCGGUAAUACGUAGGUGGCAAGCGUUAUCCGGAAUUAUUGGGCGUAAAGCGCGCGUAGGCGGUUUUUUAAGUCUGAUGUGAAAGCCCACGGCUCAACCGUGGAGGGUCAUUGGAAACUGGAAAACUUGAGUGCAGAAGAGGAAAGUGGAAUUCCAUGUGUAGCGGUGAAAUGCUCAGAGAUAUGGAGGAACACCAGUGGCGAAGGCGACUUUCUGGUCUGUAACUGACGCUGAUGUGCGAAAGCGUGGGGAUCAAACAGGAUUAGAUACCCUGGUAGUCCACGCCGUAAACGAUGAGUGCUAAGUGUUAGGGGGUUUCCGCCCCUUAGUGCUGCAGCUAACGCAUUAAGCACUCCGCCUGGGGAGUACGACCGCAAGGUUGAAACUCAAAGGAAUUGACGGGGACCCGCACAAGCGGUGGAGCAUGUGGUUCAAUUCGAAGCAACGCGAAGAACCUUACCAAAUCUUGACAUCCUUUGACAACUCUAGAGAUAGAGCCUUCCCCUUCGGGGGACAAAGUGACAGGUGGUGCAUGGUUGUCGUCAGCUCGUGUCGUGAGAUGUUGGGUUAAGUCCCGCAACGAGCGCAACCCUUAAGCUUAGUUGCCAUCAUUAAGUUGGGCACUCUAAGUUGACUGCCGGUGACAAACCGGAGGAAGGUGGGGAUGACGUCAAAUCAUCAUGCCCCUUAUGAUUUGGGCUACACACGUGCUACAAUGGACAAUACAAAGGGCAGCGAAACCGCGAGGUCAAGCAAAUCCCAUAAAGUUGUUCUCAGUUCGGAUUGUAGUCUGCAACUCGACUACAUGAAGCUGGAAUCGCUAGUAAUCGUAGAUCAGCAUGCUACGGUGAAUACGUUCCCGGGUCU